UUUAUUUCAAAGACUUAAUAAUUUAUAAUUCAUAAGAAACUCAAAUCUUUAGACAACUAAAAAAAUACUAAUCAAUAGAACACUUUGCAAGUAAUUUAAAGCCAAAGUUGUUCAAUAACUUAAAAUAAAACUCAAAUUAUUUAAUUGGACAAUGAAGGAAAUGUAACUGUCACACCACAUGUACAACAAUGGGGAUGAUGAUUAAGGGUCUGAUAUUUUUUAAUUGAGUGGCUAUAACUGUCACACCACAUUCUUUGUACAACCGAUAAUAAAGAAAUGGUAGAUUCAUCUUACAUUGAGGCGGUUGAAAAUUAAUUUUAUAAAUAAUUUAAAAUAACCUCAAUUUAAUUCCGUUUAUAUUGCAUGCAAAAUAUUUUAGAGAACUACACUCAUUUUCUUGUUUAUCCUUCUCUGCAAGAUUUUCUAAGCAACACUGUUUAGAGUUAUGGUUUUAGUAACACAUUGGUAGUAUUUGAGACAUUUAAGGUUUAGAAACAAAAUAUUCUAAGUAAGAGUAGUUUCUUCAAUAAUUC
RNAcentral lists this long non-coding RNA (533 nucleotides) under Lathyrus oleraceus (garden pea). RNAcentral describes it as "Pisum sativum (pea) long non-coding RNA (PSAT_LNC021370)". The record is from RNAcentral. Lineage: Eukaryota; Viridiplantae; Streptophyta; Magnoliopsida; Fabales; Fabaceae.